Molecule: small nucleolar RNA, 138 nt
Organism: Tachyglossus aculeatus (Australian echidna)
Lineage: Eukaryota; Metazoa; Chordata; Mammalia; Monotremata; Tachyglossidae
Source: RefSeq, a predicted model, not a curated record
CCCCUCUCAGGAUCGCACCUGGACAGUUUCCAGUCCUCUACCAGUCACGAUUACAGGAGGAAGAGUCAAGAAGAGGCCUACCCAUUCCAUUUCUAGCUUGGCCAGUGGCUAGCAAGUGGAAGGCAAUCUGUUACAAGU